This 499-nucleotide ribosomal RNA is filed under the name uncultured bacterium. RNAcentral's name for it is "partial 16S ribosomal RNA". It matches the Rfam family "Bacterial small subunit ribosomal RNA", at positions 30 to 523 of the family's 1533-position model. The record is from RNAcentral.
AUUGAACGCUGGCGGAAUGCUUUACACAUGCAAGUCGAACGGCAGCACGGACUUCGGUCUGGUGGCGAGUAGCGAACGGGUGAGUAAUGUAUCGGAACGUGCCCAGUCGUGGGGGAUAACGUAGUGAAAAUUACGCUAAUACCGCAUACGAUCUAUGGAUGAAAGCGGGGAUCGCAAGACCUCGCGCGAUUGGAGCGGCCGAUAUCAGAUUAGGUAGUUGGUGGGGUAAAGGCCCACCAAGCCAACGAUCUGUAGCUGGUCUGAGAGGACGACCAGCCACACUGGAACUGAGACACGGUCCAGACUCCUACGGGAGGCAGCAGUGGGGAAUUUUGGACAAUGGGCGAAAGCCUGAUCCAGCCAUUACGCGUGCAGGAUGAAGGCCCUCGGGUUGUAAACUGCUUUUGUACAGAACGAAAAGGUUUCUACUAAUACUAGGAGCUCAUGACGGUACUGUAAGAAUAAGCACCGGCUAACUACGUGCCAGCCGCCGCUGUAA